RNAcentral lists this ribosomal RNA (499 nucleotides) under uncultured bacterium. RNAcentral's name for it is "bacterial SSU rRNA". It matches the Rfam family "Bacterial small subunit ribosomal RNA", at positions 28 to 517 of the family's 1533-position model. The record is from RNAcentral.
GAUGAACGCUAGCUACAGGCUUAACACAUGCAAGUCGAGGGGCAGCGGGAUUGAAGCUUGCUUCAAUCGCCGGCGACCGGCGCACGGGUGAGUAACGCGUAUCCAACCUUCCGUACACUCAGGGAUAGCCUUUCGAAAGAAAGAUUAAUACCUGAUGGUAUGAUGAGAUUGCAUGAUAGCAUCAUUAAAGAUUUAUCGGUGUACGAUGGGGAUGCGUUCCAUUAGGUAGUAGGCGGGGUAACGGCCCACCUAGCCAACGAUGGAUAGGGGUUCUGAGAGGAAGGUCCCCCACAUUGGAACUGAGACACGGUCCAAACUCCUACGGGAGGCAGCAGUGAGGAAUAUUGGUCAAUGGACGAGAGUCUGAACCAGCCAAGUAGCGUGAAGGAUGACUGCCCUAUGGGUUGUAAACUUCUUUUAUAAAGGAUAAAGUCGGGUAUGGAUACCCGUUUGCAUGUACUUUAUGAAUAAGGAUCGGCUAACUCCGUGCCAGCAGCCG